GGAUGUGAGGGCAACCUGGCUGCGACAUCUGUAACCCCAUUGAUCGCCAGGGUUAAUUCGGCUGAUCUGGAUGGCUGGACAGGUGUCCCCUUCCUCCCUCAAUGCUCCUUGUGCGUCCCUCCCAAAGGUGUGCACUUGGUCCAAGAGGAUGACCACCCCCAGUAGAGGACCGUUCCUCGGUCAAGGGUAUACGAGUAACUGCGCUCCCCUGCUAGAAUCUCCAAACAAGCCCUCAAGGUCCAUAAUAGGUCUUUAAAAUACAUGAACUGGAAAAUAGGUAGAACUGAAAGAAGAAACAGGUGAAUCUGCAUUU
This 313-nucleotide small nuclear RNA is filed under the name Chinchilla lanigera (long-tailed chinchilla). RNAcentral describes it as "7SK RNA (ENSCLAG00000022148.1)". It matches the Rfam family "7SK RNA". Rfam says of the family: 7SK was discovered as an abundant small nuclear RNA in the mid-70s but a possible function has only recently been suggested. Two independent studies have found that 7SK RNA binds the CDK9/cyclin T complex (known as elongation factor P-TEFb). Lineage: Eukaryota; Metazoa; Chordata; Mammalia; Rodentia; Chinchillidae. The record is from Rfam by way of RNAcentral.